CCAUUCAACUCUUCUUUUUUAAGGGUACAGUUUAUUUGAGAGAAAUUUAAGGCUGAUAAACAUUCACUCGUAGAAUUUAGGAUACAAGCUAAAGUUCACAUUUUCUUACUAUUUAUAUAUGUAGUUCAAAUUUUCUAUAAUGCGUUGAUGACAGGUGUUGGGUACUUUUAUGUUAAAACAUUUUUGUGGUUUGAAUGUCAGAUUAAAUUGCAGACAGGAACCAAAAAACACUGCCUAAAAUAUGUAUAUGUAGUUUCUAUUUGAACUGUAGAAUUGAAUCAGCAUUUAUGCAGUUGAAACAGUUUAGGGUAGGAAUAGUUAGUCUGGUGCUCUUCUGAUGUUUUGGACUAAUUUCCUUCAGAUUAUAUACAGAAUUAAUAAUGACAAGUCAUUAUAGAAGUUUCUAACCUAUCUGAAGGAAAACACUUUGCUUACCAUUGAGUUAGAGGUAUGGUGCUUAUCAAAGGUCUGUUCACUGAAUAUGUUUUUAUCUAAACAUUCAGCAUGGAAUCGGCAUUAAGAAGCUUGUGAGUAGGAUUGGCUAAUAAUAAUUCACUUAUUUACUUAUUUAUUUGGCACAUUAUUCACCCAAUUAAUGAUGAGCAAUUGAAUCUUGCUUGGAAAGCAUUGUAUUUGCGGUACUGCAAGCGUCUGCCUGUUGUGUUGGAUUACUAACAGACUUGAGCAUGAAAUAAUAAACGAAUAUUUUGGUUUAGGAAUACCACAGACUAAUACUGAAUUUUCUGCUUAUUUAUUUCUAUACCUUCAUUGCCCCUUCUUUGAUUUAAUCAGAUUAAAUCACUGUGACCUAUGCAAUUUUAUCAAAAUCAAUACAAUAUCUGAUGUGAUUAUCAUGACAAGGGCAGCUGAAAAACAUAGGUCACCGUAAGCUCUUGUACUAAAUGAUAGCAUUGGCAAAUGAAUCCAAGGUCAUGGGGGAUAAAGGGAAAAAAACCUGGGAAAUUGUGUUAGAAUCUUGGGAAGCAAAAGGAUAUUAAACUGUAUUGAAAUGAAUUCAUGAAAAUAAGAGGACUUUUAAACAAUAGGAUAAGAUUAAAAGUAGGGAAGAAAACUGCUAUACAGUCUGUAGCCUUGAUUUGAUAUUCCACGCUAUUGUUCAAAGCUACUGUGAGAGAGCAGAAAUUGUUCUUGUGAUUUUCAUCAUUGCAUUGGGUUUUUUUCUUUGCUCCUUUCCUUCAUAGUAAAGAUUUGUAGGCAGUAUGUUCACAGGUGUAUUGUUAAAUAAAAACUUAUGUACAGUAGUAUGUUUUCUGUUAUUGGAUUUCCAAAAUCUGAACUAGAUCUGAGCAAAUCCCUCAUGAAUAGUGUUGAGAAAUGUAUUUGAUAACUUCAAAAGGGUUACCUCAGCCAACAAGAAGCUGUGCGCAUAUCCUAAUUACAUGAAUAAUCUGAUGCACUAAAAGCAUUGUUUUAUUUUGCAGAAUCUUCCAAUGCAACGUUAUUGACCAACGCAGAAAAAAUUGCUACAAUUACAACUACACAUACUCCUCAACAAAUGCCACAGGAGAACAGAAACAAUGCAAAGACAAAACAGGAAUCCCAGUUUGAUUUCAAAGCACCAACAGCCUCCCAGCCAGAACAAGAUUUUUACACUGUGGAACUUGAAAGAGGAGCUAAAGGAUUUGGCUUCAGUCUGCGAGGUGGCCGAGAAUAUAACAUGGAUCUCUAUGUCUUGCGGUUAGCAGAAGAUGGGCCUGCUGAGAGAUGUGGAAAAAUGAGGGUAUGUUACAAGCUCACAUGAGCUACCAUUUCUCCUUUGCCUUAUCUGCAGGCCAACCUUUCUACUCAGUUUCCUCCUUUUUUUCCUGUUUCGUUGCAGAAUACAGAUGACCUUAUUCAAGCCAUCAGACAAAAAUCAUCAGCAAAUGAUUUUUUUUUCUUUUGUUAUGUC
Non-coding RNA from Notechis scutatus (mainland tiger snake), 1912 nucleotides. The record is from RefSeq and is a predicted model, not a curated record. NCBI's taxonomy places the organism in Eukaryota, Metazoa, Chordata, Lepidosauria, Squamata, Elapidae.